This 2556-nucleotide long non-coding RNA is filed under the name Lactuca sativa (garden lettuce). RNAcentral describes it as "long non-coding RNA (LSAT_LNC000034)". The record is from RNAcentral. Lineage: Eukaryota; Viridiplantae; Streptophyta; Magnoliopsida; Asterales; Asteraceae.
UCGGCCGCCCCCUCCACUCCUCCAGCCGCCAUCGCCAAUUGCUCAGGCUCCUCCAACCGGUCUCAGCCUAUUCUCCGUCCAUGAUGCUACGUUCUAGCCAUACCGCCGUUGUGCCCUGUUGUCGGCGACGACGAGAACCACCAGCGAAGCUGUGAGUGCCCGAGGCCACAUCUCCGUCAUUCUCCUUCUUCUUCUCUUUCUGUCGCUGUUCACAACCGCACCCGGCUGUCACCGGUGUCGUUCUGAUCGUUGUCGCCGGCUGUAGGCGCAAGGUUGGGUGUCGUUCACUGCCACCGUCUCUUUUUCUCCUUCCCUUUGUUCUGUUAAUGUGUUGCUUCAAGUCGCCAGUGAGGCCGUGAACCGCAAGGAUCGACCGCCGGCUGUCACUGCCGCCACCAUCUUGCGCGGCUGCUUCCUACCGCCCGGACCAUCGCAUGCCACCAUGAAGAGGGAAUUGUGUUCGACUUUUCGCUACCAGGUGGGUGGCAGUGGGCAUACAUCGGUGUGUGGGUGUGUAUUUUGCAAUGAAAUAUAGCAUGAAGUGUGUGUGUGUGUGUGUUAUGCAUAGCUGGAAAAUCGAGGAUAGCCACCGCCACCACCGUGAGGUGGUAGCUGCCGCCGUGUACCACCACCGACCACCACAAGGGUGGUUGUUUGCGGGUGUGUAUGUAUUUAGUAUAGUGUAUGUGUUUAGUUUGAGAGUUCAUUGUAAAAUGUAAAAAUGUAAUAAUAGAAAUCUCAAACCACCACCGGCCGCCGUGUCGGGUGGCGGUGUGCCUCGUUGAUGUUGUGUUUUGGUGUGGAUUUUUGAACAAGGGGCUAAAACCCUAGUUGUCUCAAAGGAGCUCUAAUAGGCCCAAUGAAGAUUAAUGGACUCUAAUGGACCCAAUAAAACCAUAAUGGGCUUAAUAAUAUUUUAGUGGGCUUAAUAAUAUUUUAGUGGGCUUAAUAGGUCCAAUAAAGCCCUAAUUGACAUAAAAGACCAACAAAUUGAUAAAUGGGCUAAUAUGUGGAUUGGAAAACCCUAAUGCCAAUGAAAACCUAACUUUAAGAAUUAAUCGGGUCACACACACAAGAAUUAUUUAAUAACUUGGAAUAUUAAAUAAUAAUCAUCGGCGGAAAUUAAUCUAAGCAAUAUUGGACUUAAUGGGUUAAGUCCUUAAUGGAUUAAGUCCUUAAUGGGUUAAGUAGGAAACUUAACCCUAAUCAUCAUUUUAUGUGAAACCCUAAUUUUACUUGGAUUCAUUGUUGGGCCUUUCUAUUGGGCCUUGAUGAUUGGGUUAUUAAACGGACUAUCCAAGAUCAAGCAAAUGGUCUAGAGUAAUUUAAUGGGCCUAGGGUAAGGCCCAUGUGAGGGCUUGGGCCCAAUUUGGAAAAUUGGGCCAUAGAUGGGCCAUAGUUUGGGCCUUAAUGAUUAUAUGAUGUUGGGCCUUAGAAUGAGACCAUGUAUAGGCCUAGGCCCAAUUUGGAAAAUUGGGUCAUGUGUUAGGCUUUGAUUCCUAUUUGGCUUUGGGCCUAUGGAUUGGGCCUUGGGCUUGAAUAAGCCAAGUUAGGGGUAAUAUAGUAAUUACCCAGAGAAUAUACUUAUGGUUAUGUAUUGGGACCCAAUUAUUAAUUGGGUGUUAUUUUGGUGUUGACAGUUCGGGAAUCUGUCAGCCAGUAGCUGGGGUCGAGUCUGCGGGACUUCAGCAGGUGUGGGAUUGUGUCUUCGGGACUUCAGCAGUGUGAGGUGAGUUCCCUUCCAGUAGCGGUGGGUCUACGGCCACAAUGUCGGCCCACUAGUAGGAGUUGUAUGUUAAAUGAUUGUCUUUGUGAUAUCAUCUAGGUUUGCUACUACCUGAUAUGUUAUAUGCUGGCAUGAUAUGUAUAUGAGAUAGUAGUAGAGUUCGGUUGUUAGGACUGAAGGGUAGGUCAGACACCCCAAAUAUGUCUGACAGUAUGUGAUGAUAUGUUUAUAUGUCGGCAUGAUAUGUUAUAUGUGAUAGUGGUAGUAGGAGGGGAAUAGUCCCCAAGUUCGGUCGUUAGGACCGAAGGGUAGAUCGGACACCCCAGAUAUGUAUGAUAAUAUGUUAUAUUAUGAUAUAUGUAAUAGUAGCAGUAGGGGUGGAAUAGUCCCCGAGGAUCGGUUGUUAGGACCGAUGAGUAGUCAGCACCCCAGAAUGGCUUGACAUGGGUAGUCAACACCCCAGAACGGCUUGACACGGGUAGGUCGGCACCCCAGAAUGGUCGUAUCGGGUAGGUCGGACACUCCAGAAUUGCCCGAUAGUAUGUAUGAUAUGUGAUUGUAUGGCAUGUGGUAUGAUGGGCGAUCUCACUAAGCUUCGUGCUUACGGUUUUCAGUUUUGGUUUCAGGUACUUCGUGUUUAAAGGAAAGGAGUCGGCUUGAUCGCAGCACAUCACACUAUGGUUUUCCGCACACGAGAUCUUUGGGAUUAGACUCUGAUAUUGUUUUAUGAUAAUUUGUUUUUAUUAUUUCUACUUGGGUUUUGACAUGACAUGAUAUUAUGGAUGUUUUCUUAUACUGUUGAUUUUAUAAUAAGGUAUUUAAAUAUGAAA